RNAcentral lists this transfer RNA (77 nucleotides) under Chlorobium chlorochromatii CaD3. RNAcentral's name for it is "tRNA-His". The record is from RNAcentral. Lineage: Bacteria; Pseudomonadati; Chlorobiota; Chlorobiia; Chlorobiales; Chlorobiaceae.
AAUGCAAAGGAACUCCGCUAAACGGCUGCGGUGAAGCAGCGCUUCUUCGCCACUCUCUAAACCACUACCACUUUCGG